GCACCAGACUCCUACGAGAGGCAGCAGUGGGGAAUAUUGGGCAAUGGGCGCAAGCCUGACCCAGCAACGCCGCGUGAGGGAAGAAGGCUUUCGGGUUGUAAACUUCUUUUAAGAGGGAAGAGUAGAAGACGGUACCUCUUGAAUAAGCCACGGCUAACUACGUGCCAGCAGCCGCGGUAAUACGUAGGUGGCAAGCGUUGUCCGGAUUUACUGGGUGUAAAGGGCGUGUAGCCGGGUUGACAAGUCAGAUGUGAAAUCCUGCGGCUUAACCGCAGAACUGCAUUUGAAACUGUUCCCCUUGAGUGUCGGAGAGGUAAUCGGAAUUCCUUGUGUAGCGGUGAAAUGCGUAGAUAUAAGGAAGAACACCAGUGGCGAAGGCGGAUUACUGGACGAUAACUGACGGUGAGGCGCGAAAGCGUGGGGAGCAAACAGGAUUAGAUACCCCUGUA
This 449-nucleotide ribosomal RNA is filed under the name uncultured bacterium. RNAcentral describes it as "partial 16S ribosomal RNA". It matches the Rfam family "Bacterial small subunit ribosomal RNA", at positions 328 to 792 of the family's 1533-position model. The record is from RNAcentral.